CCACACCUGCCACCGCCCCCAGAUGAACCUCCCUGAUACUCGGGCCUUCCACCCAGUCCUACAAACCUCUGAACCCUCCGGCCGACACUAAGCCUUGCUCCUGAGUUGUCUCCAUCCAGAAGAGUGGCCAGAGUGAGGACAUCCAGGACAGCCAGGCCUACACAGAGAAACCCUGUCUCACAAAACCAAAAGCAAGCAACCAAACCCUUGCCACUGCUGAGAGACUGGAUAAGCAGAACAGCACACUGUAAAGCAGCCUUCAAAGGAAGCGCGUUCUCACGCGUGCACCAUCACAGAUGAACUCUGAGGAUACUGGAGCGAGCGAGGCGGGCCAGGAGCGUGUAUGAAUGCCCCAUGUGUAUGUGGUGCCCGUAGAAGCCAAAACGGGGCGUCGGAGCCUCUGGUCCAGCAUUGGAGUCACAGACUUUUGUGACCCUCCAAUGUGGGUGCUGGGGACUAAGCUCAGCACAAGAACAGCGGGGGCGGGGGUGGCCCCACGGUUAAGUGCUCUCGCAGAGGAUAAGAGCUUGGACCCCAGCGCCCACAUCAGAUGGCUUACAACCUCCGCACGCACGCACACAAGGACAGACGGAGAAAAAUCAGACGCUCCAAGUUAAACGAAACCCUCCCAGGAAUUUGUGGGGUGACCCGAACGGAGCAAGAGGAAGCGCAGGGAUUAAGAGGGAGCAGAGACUGAGGGAAUGGCCAGGCAAUGGCUGGCCCAACUCGAGACCCACCCCAGGGGCGAGAGCCAACCCCUGACUCCGUCAAUGACGCCCUGCAACGCUGCAGACAGGAGCUGAGCAUGAUUGCCUUCUGAGAGGCUUCAUCCAGCAGCUGGGGGAAACAGAGGCAGAGACCCACGGUCAGACAACAGGCGGAGCUCCGGAGGUUUUGUGGAAGAGUGGGGGGAAGGAUUGAGGGAGCCAGAGGGCUCAGGGACACCAUGAGGUAUCCUGCAGGGGAAACGAACCUGGGCCCAGGGGGCUCACAGAGACUGGACCACCAGCCAAAGAGCGAGCAUGGGCUGGGCCUGGCCCCUUCGCAUAGGUAGCAGAUGUGCGGCCUGGUCAGCUCGUGGGUUGCCUAAGAAUGGGAGCAGGGGCUGUGACUCUGCACAGCCUCAGGGCAAUGCAUCUCUAAUAACUGGUCACCUGCAGUACACGUGACCAGUGUACUGGUCCAGUCAGUACCAGUGUACUGACCAGUCAGAUGCUGCCUGCCUUUACAUCCCUUUCCCCUAGCUGGGCUGCCUUGUCAGAGGAGAGGAGGCACUUAGUCCUGCUGCGACUUGAGGUGCCAGGGUACUUUGGUACCCCUUGGGGGCCUCCCUUUCUCUGAGAAGGAGGAG
Meriones unguiculatus (Mongolian gerbil) is the source of this 1351-nucleotide long non-coding RNA. RefSeq lists it as uncharacterized. The transcript has 4 exons. Lineage: Eukaryota; Metazoa; Chordata; Mammalia; Rodentia; Muridae. The record is from RefSeq and is a predicted model, not a curated record.